This 499-nucleotide ribosomal RNA is filed under the name uncultured bacterium. RNAcentral's name for it is "partial 16S ribosomal RNA". It matches the Rfam family "Bacterial small subunit ribosomal RNA", at positions 899 to 1397 of the family's 1533-position model. The record is from RNAcentral.
ACUCAAAGGAAUUGACGGGGGCCCGCACAAGCGGUGGAUUAUGUGGUUUAAUUCGAAGCAACGCGCAGAACCUUACCUGGGCUUGAACUCUCACGAACCUGGUAGAGAUAUCGGGGUGCUCGCAAGAGAAUGUGAUGAGAGGCGCUGCAUGGCUGUCGUCAGCUCGUGUUGUGAAAUGUUGGGUUAAGUCUCGCAACGAGCGCAACCCCUAUCCUUAGUUGCCAGCAUUAAGUUGGGCACUCUAGGGAGACUGCCUGGGUUAACCAGGAGGAAGGUGGGGAUGACGUCAAGUCCUCAUGGCCCUUAUGUCCAGGGCUACACACGUAAUACAAUGGCCAGUACAGAGGGAUGCGAACUCGCGAGGGGGAGCAAAUCUCAAAAAGCUGGUCUCAGUCCGGAUUGAAGUCUGCAACUCGACUUCAUGAAGUUGGAAUCGCUAGUAAUCGCGGAUCAGCACGCCGCGGUGAAUACGUUCCCGGGCCUUGUACACACCGCCCGU